This 514-nucleotide ribosomal RNA is filed under the name uncultured bacterium. RNAcentral's name for it is "partial 16S ribosomal RNA". The record is from RNAcentral.
GGAGUUAGCCGGUGCUUCUUCUGCGAGUAACGUCACAGAUGUAAGGUAUUAACUUACACCCUUUCCUCCUCGCUGAAAGUGCUUUACAACCCGAAGGCCUUCUUCACACACGCGGCAUGGCUGCAUCAGGGUUUCCCCCAUUGUGCAAUAUUCCCCACUGCUGCCUCCCGUAGGAGUCUGGGCCGUGUCUCAGUCCCAGUGUGGCUGAUCAUCCUCUCAGACCAGCUAGGGAUCGUCGCCUAGGUGAGCCUUUACCUCACCUACUAGCUAAUCCCACCUGGGCUUAUCCAUCAGCGCAAGGCCCGAAGGUCCCCUGCUUUCCCCCGUAGGGCGUAUGCGGUAUUAGCAGUCGUUUCCAACUGUUAUCCCCCACAAAUGGGCAAAUUCCCAGGCAUUACUCACCCGUCCGCCGCUCGUCAUCUUCAAAAGCAAGCUUUUGAAAUGUUACCGCUCGACUUGCAUGUGUUAGGCCUGCCGCCACGCGUUCAUCUGAACCAAGAUACAAACUUACUGA